GGACUGAGACACGGCCCAGACUCCUACGGGAGGCAGCAGUGGGGAAUAUUGCACAAUGGGCGCAAGCCUGAUGCAGCGACGCCGCGUGAGGGAUGACGGCCUUCGGGUUGUAAACCUCUUUCAGUAGGGAAGAAGCGAAAGUGACGGUACCUGCAGAAGAAGCACCGGCUAACUACGUGCCAGCAGCCGCGGUAAUACGUAGGGUGCGAGCGUUA
RNAcentral lists this ribosomal RNA (215 nucleotides) under Micrococcus sp. PH74. RNAcentral describes it as "partial 16S ribosomal RNA". It matches the Rfam family "Bacterial small subunit ribosomal RNA", at positions 316 to 543 of the family's 1533-position model. The record is from RNAcentral. Lineage: Bacteria; Bacillati; Actinomycetota; Actinomycetes; Micrococcales; Micrococcaceae.